This 514-nucleotide ribosomal RNA is filed under the name uncultured microorganism. Its description in RNAcentral is "bacterial SSU rRNA". It matches the Rfam family "Bacterial small subunit ribosomal RNA", at positions 9 to 521 of the family's 1533-position model. The record is from RNAcentral.
GAGUUUGAUCGUGGCUCAGGAUGAACGCUGGCGGCGUGCUUAACACACGCAAGUCGAACGAAGCGCCUUAUUUGAUUUUCUUCGGAACUGAAGAUUUGGUGACUGAGUGGCGGACGGGUGAGUAACGCGUGGUAACCUGCCCUGUACAGGGGGAUAACAAUCAGAAAUGACUGCUAAUACCGCAUAAGACCACAGCACCGCAUGGUGCAGGGGUAAAAACUCCGGUGGUACAGGAUGGACCCGCGUCUGAUUAGCUGGUUGGUGAGGUAACGGCUCACCAAGGCGACGAUCAGUAGCCGGCUUGAGAGAGUGAACGGCCACAUUGGGACUGAGACACGGCCCAAACUCCUACGGGGGGCAGCAGUGGGGAAUAUUGGCACAAUGGGGGAAACCCUGAUGCAGCAACGCCGCGUGAGUGAAGAAGUGUUUCGGUAUGUAAAGCUCUAUCAGCAGGGAAGAAAGUGACGGUACCUGACUAAGAAGCCCCGGCUAACUACGUGCCAGCCGCCGCCGU